GCACCUAAGUGGAAUGCGCAUGCGCGGGGCUCCAUUUACCUCCGGCUGCCUUCAGUUAGCUCUGGGACACCUGCUGCUUUGCUGCCGCUCUUUUGUGCUAUUUUCCCCAGGGAUCGGGUACCAUUCUGGACCCACGUUCAGUGAAUUCGUUACUCCGCAGAGUUGCUCUUGGGCGCUGGGAGGGUGGUGCGCUCUCGGUCCGCAGUCAGGGGCCUGUUUGCGGGGAGCCUCCCGGGUCGGGUGCUGCUGCUUGCAGCCUCGGGGGAGAGACCGUCCUGUUGCGGUAAGCACCCGCAGCUGGGAAGCCUGCGGACCCCGAGCCCCGUCCGCCAGGCACCAUCCAGUCUGGGUUGAAUCUGGGUGUGACAGAACUAGUGAUGACAGCGCAGGUUCCUGACCGAUGAAAUAAACUAGGUUUUCAUAGCUGUUCUCUGAUGAUCUUGGUAUAGUAUUCGCCUGUGUCUUUCAAAAGUAAUCUCACAUUUCAAGAGACUAACGCUUCCUGUUUUUGCCAGAUGUUUAAGGCAUGAGGAUAAAUCUGGUCCAUGUUACUCCAUCCUGGACAGAAGCAGAAGUCAGCUAUCUCCACUAAUCAUCCCCAUCAGAAGUGGUUUGCAAUUCAGAAAUUGCUUCAGCCUGAGGGAACUGUCAGUGCCUGGGCCCUGAAGCAGAAGAGGUCCCCGAAGCAUGUCCUGGAGGAACAGUAAUGAGGUCAUGGGGCGGGGGGGCAGAGUGGAGAGGAGAAGAGCUUGGGAUGACAGAAUGUUACUGGUGUAUCUGUUUCCUAUUGCUGCUGUAACAGUUUGGCACAAAUGUGGUAGCUUUAAGCAACACCAAUUUAUUAUCUUACAGUCCUGGAGGUUAGAAUCCAAAACGGAUCUCACUGGGCUAAUACUGAGAUGUCAGCAGGGCUGCAUUCCUUCUGGAGGUUCUAGGGGAGCAUCUGUUUUCUUGCCUUUCCAGCUGCUACAGGCUGCCCGCUUUGCUUAUUAGCUUGUGGUCCCCUUCUAUCUUCAAAGCCAGCGAUGGCCAGUCAUCACUCUAACAGUGACAUUCCUGUCUCUCCCUCAAUUUUUCUUCUUUUUUCUUUUUUUGCUGCACUGAGUGGCUUCUGAAAUCUUAGUUCCCCAACCAGGGAUCGAACCCAGGCCCUUGGCAGUGAGAGUGCCAAGUCCUAACCACUGGACCGCCAGGGAGUUCCCCUCGCCCUCACUUAUAAAGACCCUUGUGAUUAUAUUCGUAGCCACCAAUUAGCCCAGGGUUAUCUCCUCACCUCAAGGUAGGUUGAUUGGCAACCUUAAUGCCCCCUUGCCAUGUAACAGAACGUUCGCAGGUUGUGGGGAUUAGGAUAUGGACUUCUUUGGGGACCAUUCUUCUGCCUACCACAGCUGGAGACUUGUUAGGUAGAGAAUUUGGCUUUACUCUGUGAUGGGAAGUAACUAGAGUGUGUUGAGCAGAGGAUGGAUGUGAUAUGCCUUAUGUUUUAAAAGGCCCAUUCCAGAUACAGUUAGAAGAACAAACAGUGGGGAGGCAUAGGCAAGGGUAGAAACAGAAACAGGAUUCACUGAAGGAUUGGAUGUGGAAUGUGAGGUAGGAAUUAAAAAUUACUCCAUCAGCAAUGCACAAGGUUUCCUGCAUUCUACUAAAUAUUCGGUGCUACCCACCUAUCUGCCAUUCAGAGGGUAGAAAACUUGCAUUUCUCUGAUUUCUAAUAAGUCUGAGCAUCGCUUUAUGCACACGUUAUCUUUUGGGGAUUCUCCAAUCGGUGAAUUAUGUCUCUGUAUCCUUUGCCCAUUUUUCUAAUGGGUUUCCUGUUUCCUUGUUAAUUCAUAGUUGUUCUUGUUAUAUUAUAGCUAUAAAUCCCUUGUCAGCUUGGACAGCACAUCUUCCAGUCCUUUCUCUGAACUUUGUUUACAAUUUCUUUUUUUAUUUUAAUUUUUGAAUUUUAUUUAUUUUUUUAUA
Molecule: long non-coding RNA, 1962 nt
Organism: Aethalodelphis obliquidens (Pacific white-sided dolphin)
Lineage: Eukaryota; Metazoa; Chordata; Mammalia; Artiodactyla; Delphinidae
Exons: 3
Source: RefSeq, a predicted model, not a curated record